RNAcentral lists this ribosomal RNA (705 nucleotides) under uncultured bacterium. RNAcentral describes it as "bacterial SSU rRNA". It matches the Rfam family "Bacterial small subunit ribosomal RNA", at positions 8 to 742 of the family's 1533-position model. The record is from RNAcentral.
AGAGUUUGAUCCUGGCUCAGAAUCAACGCUGGCGGCGCGCCUAACACAUGCAAGUCGAACGAGAAAGCAGGAGCAAUCUUGUGAGUAAAGUGGCGUACGGGUGAGUAACACGUGGAUCAUCUACCCUCUUGNUGGGGGAUAACCCUGGGAAACCGGGGCUAAUACCGCAUAAGCUCGAGAGAGGAAAGCAGCAAUGCGCAGGAGGAGGAGUCCGCGGCCGAUUAGCUAGUUGGUAGGGUAAAAGCCUACCAAGGCAACGAUCGGUAGCCGGCCUGAGAGGGCACACGGCCACACUGGCACUGAAACACGGGCCAGACUCCUACGGGAGGCAGCAGUGGGGAAUCUUGCACAAUGGGGGCAACCCUGAUGCAGCGACGCCGCGUGAGCGAUGAAGCCCUUCGGGGUGUAAAGCUCUUUCGGCAGGGAAGAUUAUGACGGUACCUGCAGAAGCAGCUGCGGCUAACUACGUGCCAGCAGCCGCGGUAAUACGUAGGCAGCAAGCGUUGUUCGGAGUUACUGGGCGUAAAGGGUGUGUAGGCGGUCUUCUAUGUUUGGUGUGAAAUCUCCCGGCUCAACUGGGAGGGUGCGCCGAAAACUGGGAGGCUAGAGUGCGGGAUGGGAGAGUGGAAUUCCUGGUGUAGCGGUGAAAUGCGUANAUAUCAGGAGGAACACCUGUGGUGUAGACGGCUCUCUGGACCGCAACUG